RNAcentral lists this ribosomal RNA (494 nucleotides) under uncultured bacterium. Its description in RNAcentral is "partial 16S ribosomal RNA". It matches the Rfam family "Bacterial small subunit ribosomal RNA", at positions 28 to 507 of the family's 1533-position model. The record is from RNAcentral.
GACGAACGCUGGCGGCGUGCUUAACACAUGCAAGUCGAACGGUGAAGCGCCUUCCUUUUUGGUGGGUGUGGAUGAGUGGCGAACGGGUGAGUAACACGUGAGUAACCUGCCCCCUUCUUCUGGAUAACCGCAUGAAAGUGUGGCUAAUACGGGAUAUUCUGUGUCUGUCGCAUGAUGGGUCUGGGAAAGAUAUUGUUUCGGUGGGGGAUGGGCUCGCGGCCUAUCAGCUUGUUGGUGGGGUGAUGGCCUACCAAGGCGGUGACGGGUAGCCGGCCUGAGAGGGUGGACGGUCACACUGGGACUGAGACACGGCCCAGACUCCUACGGGAGGCAGCAGUGGGGAAUAUUGCACAAUGGGCGCAAGCCUGAUGCAGCGACGCCGCGUGAGGGAUGGAGGCCUUCGGGUUGUGAACCUCUUUCGCCAGUGAAGCAGGCCUGCCUCGUUUGUGGGUGGGUUGACGGUAGCUGGAUAAGAAGCACCGGCUAACUACGUG